GACGUAGGGCGCGAGCGUUGUCCGGAUUUAUUGGGCGUAAAGAGCUCGUAGGCGGCUUGUUGCGUCGGCUGUGAAAACCCAUGGCUCAACCGUGGGCUUGCAGCCGAUACGGGCAGGCUAGAGUUCGGUAGGGGAGACUGGAAUUCCUGGUGUAGCGGUGAAAUGCGCAGAUAUCAGGAGGAACACCGGUGGCGAAGGCGGGUCUCUGGACAGUUCCUGACACUGAGACACGAAGGCCAGGGGAGCAAACGGG
RNAcentral lists this ribosomal RNA (253 nucleotides) under uncultured bacterium. Its description in RNAcentral is "partial 16S ribosomal RNA". It matches the Rfam family "Bacterial small subunit ribosomal RNA", at positions 524 to 776 of the family's 1533-position model. The record is from RNAcentral.